Tripterygium wilfordii is the source of this 1885-nucleotide RNA transcript. It is a transcript of the gene named histone-lysine N-methyltransferase ASHH3, with no coding region annotated. NCBI's taxonomy places the organism in Eukaryota, Viridiplantae, Streptophyta, Magnoliopsida, Celastrales, Celastraceae. The record is from RefSeq and is a predicted model, not a curated record. The transcript has 14 exons.
UUUUCAGUCUCCCUCUCAAAAACUUCCUGUCCCUCGCUCAGUUCUUGUAAGUGAGAUCUGGUAGUUUUCUCUUUGCUGCUCGUGGUUGGUUGGUAAGGACUCUCUGCUCUCCUCUCGCAUGGUCUCUUCGCUGAUCCUCGCUCGCUUGCUCGCCGUACCUCGCGCUGCUGCUAUGAAUUCAUGAAUUCCCCGUAGAUUGCUUGUGUAUGUGUAAUCUGUUAUACCUCAUUCAAGAUGUCGUCUUGCAUUUCGUCGUUUUGAAAGAAUUGGAUAAAGAUUGACGUUGAAGACUCUAAUCAUUUUUACUGUUUGAAAGCAAGGUAGUCGUGGAGAUGGCCUUUCUAGAGAGGAAAUCAGCUGAUGAUCAUAACUUUUGCGGUUAUUUUGUUGUUGAGGCCAUGCCUUCUGCAAAGAAGAAUUUUGAGCAUAGUCGCAUCAGCCAAGCAUUCAACAAGUUGAUGAAACAGCCAGGGACACCAGUUGAGUUCGAACUUCCAGAUUGGUUUAAUAAAUGGAAGCCUACACCGUACACCUUCAUUAAGCGAAACAUAUAUCUAGCAAAGAAGAUCAAAAGACGUCUUGAGGAUGAUGGCAUAUUCUGUUCCUGCAGCCCAUUGCCAGGUUCUUCUAGCGUUUGUGGUAGGGAUUGCCAUUGCGGGAUGCUACUUUCUAGUUGCUCCUCAGGCUGCAAAUGUGGGAGUUCAUGCCUGAACAAACCAUUUCAGCAUCAACCUGUGAAGAAAAUGAAAUUGGUGCAGACCGAUAAAUGUGGAGCUGGAAUUGUGGCAGAUGAAGAUAUUAAGCAAGGAGAAUUUGUUAUAGAAUAUGUAGGGGAAGUUAUUGACGACAAAACAUGUGAGGAAAGGCUUUGGAAUAUGAAACAUCGCGGUGAAACAAACUUUUACCUAUGUGAAAUCAACCGAGAUAUGGUGAUUGAUGCCACAUACAAGGGAAACAAAUCAAGAUACAUAAACCACAGUUGUUGUCCCAAUACUGAGAUGCAGAAAUGGAUAAUUGAUGGUGAAACAAGAAUCGGCAUAUUUGCACUUCGAAACAUUAAAAAGGGCGAGCAUCUGACAUAUGAUUACCAGUUUGUUCAAUUUGGUGCAGAUCAAGAUUGCCAUUGUGGUGCUGCAAGCUGUAGGCAAAAGCUAGGGGUUAAACCAAGCAAGCCUAAGAUAUCUUCCGAUGCUGCAUUGAAGUUAGUGGCAUGCCAAGUGGCAGUGUCGUCUCCCAAGUUGAAAGCAAUUCUGUCUGGGAAAGAUGUUUGUCAUAAGGAAGGCUUGCACGUAGGAACUUCAUGGUCUGGCCUUUAUCAACGGCAAGCAUGCUCUCUAAGUUGCAUCGGAAAAGUGAUACGAAUAUCUCAUCCUGUCUUUUGGGAUUAUUAAAUGGUUUGACAAGUCUUCUAGGAAGCACUCGAUCAUGUUUGAAGAUGGUAGUGUUGAAUUUUUUGACAUGUCGAAGGAGGAUUGGGAAUUUGUAACUGUAUGACAUAGCUGUGGGAAACAGCAACCAAACUUUGUGGAGCCUGGUGUCGCAUCUGACUGAAACCUCCCAACUGUUGUUGUAUGAAAUUUGAGAGCCCUUGUUGUUUCACAGAAAGGAAACAAGAAUAUUGUAUCAAAUAUAGUGUUACAUUCUUUUCCUUGAGAAUAAGGAUAUCAUGAACUGUAGCUAUUGAUGCACGAGAUGAGAGAACUGUGUCUUGGAAAACAUUGAAAAAUGAAGCUAAUGUAGAAGGUACGGCAGGCAACCCAAAUGGUGUAAUAAUGCUCUGUAUGAUUAGAAGACGGUGUAUGUGGUUACAGAAACAAUUGUUGACAAUGAGGCAUUAUUCAUGGUAUGCAGAACUAUAGAACCAGAAAAGGAUUACUUUGAUUCA